AGGAGUGUGAGUGGAAGAAGCAAGGAAGGGAAUAAGAUCUGAGCUAGCCAUAGCCUGGCCUCCCAGUUCUCAGCAACAGCUGUGGCUGAAGCUCCUGCACCACCCCAAGGCUCUGGCUCCUUGGGCCUCGCUGGCCAGGUCUAUGGACCCCCAGGCCUCCCAGGACCGGGUGCGCCCCGCCACCUCCCUCUCUCUGCUCCUGGCCAGGCAGCGCAGGGUGGGACUGGGGGGCCCCAGGGUCUCAGCAGUGGACACAACGUUCUGGUUCAGUGGAAGGACCUUAAACCCCGUGACAAGGACACGGCAGUAAAGGCUGAUGUGGCCAAACCCCUGGUUCUGCGGCGAGCAGACCCCAGGUUCUGGACUCAUCCUGGCGGAGUGGAGGACAUCACUCGGAGGGCUGACUGCUCCACGAUAUAAAAAAAUGACAAGUCUCGGCUUAAUCUUUCUGAUAACUGUGUUCCGCGCCCCCAUCCAUCUCCACCCAGGGGUCUGGGCGAAGCUGGAAGACAAGAGCAUUCCAGCAUUUAAGAAUGAAAAAUUCAGUGCCCUUUCUAAGCGCAGCAUGGCACUCCCUGGCUUGGUGCCGUUCUGGAUGUGGGGGUGUUGGCAGGGAUGGGGGGCAAGGUGGAGUGGAGUGAAGACCAGUCAGGUUCUUGAGGGUCUGUGGCGAUGUUGUAUGUGAGUCUUUGGACCUGGUAGUGAGCAUCUAACACGGGACCGUGGAAAGAGUCCUUUGCUCCAGAUUCACUGGAUUCCCAGCUCUACUUUAACCACUUACGUAGCCUCUUGUGACUCAUUCCCUCUCUCUGGAGAGCAGCCACCUGUCUCCUCUCCGAGCCCCAGAAAUAGACAGAUGCAGAGGAAGACUUCAGAAGAGGCUAUAGAGGGCAAGAGCACAGGAUCUGGAGCCUUCAGACCUGGUCUUCUAUUCCAGCUUUACAUAGCAGUUGUUUCAUGGACCUUCUAAGGCUCAGUUAGCCUAUUUGUGAAAUGCAAGCAAAGGGGACAGUAGGCCUUUCCCCUUGGAUCAAAUAAGCCAUACCUAAUACAUGCUGAGCACUCAGUAAAGGCUGGUCGGUACAGGUGUCUUCAUACUCACGGCACCCACUCCAUGCCUUUAGAACCACACAGACACCCAAACAGAGCUUGCCUCCCUGCCGCUGCCUAAUCCUGUCUCAGCCACCUUAGUCUCUUCCUGUGGGAGUCCAACAAAGGGGACAAAUGGCCCUCUUGCAAAGGGAUGAGAC
Long non-coding RNA from Canis lupus familiaris (dog), 1250 nucleotides. RefSeq lists it as uncharacterized. NCBI's taxonomy places the organism in Eukaryota, Metazoa, Chordata, Mammalia, Carnivora, Canidae. The record is from RefSeq and is a predicted model, not a curated record. The transcript is spliced from 4 exons.